GAUGAACGCUGGCGGCGUGCUUAACACAUGCAAGUCGAACGGGAAACCUUUUAUUGAAGCUUCGGCAGAUUUAGCUGGUUUCUAGUGGCGGACGGGUGAGUAACGCGUGGGUAACCUGCCUUAUACAGGGGGAUAACAACCAGAAAUGGUUGCUAAUACCGCAUAAGCGCACAGGACCGCAUGGUCCGGUGUGAAAAACUCCGGUGGUAUGAGAUGGACCCGCGUUGGAUUAGCUAGUUGGCAGGGUAACGGCCUACCAAGGCGACGAUCCAUAGCCGGCCUGAGAGGGUGAACGGCCACAUUGGGACUGAGACACGGCCCAGACUCCUACGGGAGGCAGCAGUGGGGAAUAUUGCACAAUGGGGGAAACCCUGAUGCAGCGACGCCGCGUGAAGGAAGAAGUAUCUCGGUAUGUAAACUUCUAUCAGCAGGGAAGAUAGUGACGGUACCUGACUAAGAAGCCCCGGCUAACUACGUG
This 478-nucleotide ribosomal RNA is filed under the name uncultured bacterium. Its description in RNAcentral is "partial 16S ribosomal RNA". It matches the Rfam family "Bacterial small subunit ribosomal RNA", at positions 28 to 507 of the family's 1533-position model. The record is from RNAcentral.